CUGGUUUCUUCAACUUAUUCCACAAGAGUGAACAAGUAAGAAAUAACAGUUCUUCCUGGAUCAGCCCUCUCCCGUCUGUCAUCUCCAACAGAUACAAAGCCAGCUUUAAGAAGACCAAACCUACAAAAAUCAUUCAUGCUUUCUGCCUCCAUGUUUUUCUUUCCAACCUAGUUCCUCCAGAAAAUGUAAAAGAGCAACCGAACCGUCAACUGGUACAAUGACUUCUACACGUCAGACCUCGGCCACGCCACAGUCAUCAGAUUAUUCUAUCACAGGGUCUCUCAACCGUGGAAUAUGGUCUCCAAGGGAAACAAGCCAGAGAGGGCUCAGGAGCACUGCUAUAAAGAGUAGGCAAAUGGAAAUCUUUCCCCAAAGGGCACACUGGGAUUGUUAGGCGAGGGCUGCUCAAUCCAUUAGAAGUUUAAACUCGAAAAAAAAAAAGAAAAAAAAACCUUUUGAAAAAAUACAGAAAGCAACCUGUUCUAGAUUUUAUGUAUAAAAGAGAGUUUAUUCAGGGGACUGAAAUGUUGAUAGUGAAUCAACUGGGAGGAUAUUUUCAAUCAGAACCGUGUGACUGACAGCUUUCGUAUUAUUAAUGCACAUACUAGGAGACAUCAAAUUUGAAGGGCAGGCAUUGUGCUAAGUCAGACUUCUACCUUAAAAUGCAUUACAUUUUGUCUGUAAAUCAAGGUCAGUUAUUAAAUUAAGGUGCUCUCAUCCCUAAAUACUUU
This 731-nucleotide long non-coding RNA is filed under the name Pan troglodytes (chimpanzee). RNAcentral describes it as "long non-coding RNA NONPTRT009437". Lineage: Eukaryota; Metazoa; Chordata; Mammalia; Primates; Hominidae. The record is from RNAcentral.